RNAcentral lists this small RNA (2146 nucleotides) under Pongo abelii (Sumatran orangutan). RNAcentral's name for it is "processed transcript". The record is from RNAcentral. Lineage: Eukaryota; Metazoa; Chordata; Mammalia; Primates; Hominidae.
GACAGCGUGAUUCUCUGCAGCUGGCCGCCUCCCGCUGCUGUUCCGCCCACGUCGAGUCCUGAGCUGAAAUGGCAGACGAUCUCGGAGACGAGUGGUGGAAGAACCAGCCGGCUGGAGCAGGCAGCAGCCCAGAAGACUGUCCCAUCUCUACCCAUAGGCUCCACUUCACAGGUCCAAGAGCCCAUCAGAGCCUGGCUCUCAAGAGACAGUGUGUCUGAAAGUCAAACAUGGAUGGCAGCCAUUGGCACACAAAGGAGUCAGAAACCACAGAUUGUUUUCUCGUUGGAUGAACAGCUUAAAGCAACGUAAAGUUAAUUGAAGAAUUCCUUGAAAGUGAAGUCAGACUAAAAAGAAAUGCUCCGAGUCUAUAAUUUACUAAAUGUGAAAGAACUUGUUGUCUUCCUUCCUCACCCACUUUCAGAAAGGAUUUGAUGUUGCCUAGGGUUAAAAUAGAUAAAUAAAAUCAAAACCAUUAGGAUGAAUAUGAAGGAACGGGGAAAGAUUUUAUACUCAAAUCCCUGAGAUGGAGUCUUGUUCUGUCGCCCAGGCUGGAGUGCAGUGGCGCGAUCUCGGCUCACUGCAACCUCCGCCUCCCGGGUUCACACCAUUCUCCUGCCUCAGCCUGCCGAGUAGCUGGGACUACAGACGCCCGCCAUCACGCCCGGCUAAUUUUUUUGUAUUUUUAGUAGAGAUGGGGUUUCACUGUGUUAGCCAGGAUGGUCUCGAUCUCCUGACCUUAUCAUCUGCCCACCUCGGCCUUCCAAAAUGCUGGGAUUACAGGCAUGAGCCACUGUGCCUGGCCUCAUAGUUAACAACUUUCUUGAUCUGUCUACCUGCAUUUUAUAAUUGGAUACAUGAAUCAAUCCAAGCUGUCUGAAUAUUUCUUUUUCUUCCUGCACACACAAAAGUCAGUGAAAAGUAGGAACCUAAGACAAUCUCUGGAACAGGUAACCAUCUCUUACCACUUACAACAUAAGAUUAAACAAAGAGUUCUCUCCUGUGGCUUAUUUGCAUAUUUCAUUUGCAUAAUUCUCAUCUAACUCCCUCUUUAAAAAAAAAGUAUUAAUUAUUCAAAUAAAUACUAUCUAUCCAGGCCAUAAACAGUAUAUUAAAGUUCUCUCCCUGAGAAUCAUUUGUAUAGUUCCAGAUAAUAGCAUUCCAUUUUAAUAUAGAUGAGUACACAGAUGUGACCAUGGUUUUAGAAACAGUUUAGGUAGCAUCAAGAAACAUCUGCACAUUUUCCCAGCAGCCUGAGUAACUAGUAGUGAUUUGUACAGACUUCUCUGCAUCCGCUUUUUCCCCCUUCCUUUUUUCAGCACAUCUAGAUGAUUAAUAGACUGAACAGGCCCUUAUAUAUGCAUUCUGACAGCCUUUAGGACGGUCUUGGUUGACAAUACACACAUAAGCCAAUGUUGUUAUCAUGAAACACUUCAUUUGAAUGACUAUUAUAGGCUGAACAGGAUGUCCUAUGCCAAGAGGUUGUGACAUUUUGAGAGGGUGGUGCUGGGAGCCAUGUGGGACUCUUUUCCCAUCACAGCCAAGUUGACAUUUUCUCAGGUUGUAGGAUCAUUAGGGCUGCAGGGGGAGAAACUUUGUCAGUGGCUGGGUAGAAGUCCCUUAAGCCUGGAUUAUGCAUUUGAAAAAAUGAUUUCUUUGCCUUAGGGAAGAGAGUCUCAUUUUAAAAAGAAAAAAGUUUUUAUAACGAGUUCAUGUAUUCCACUAUGAAUUUUGCUGAAAAAUCUGUCCUGAAGUAUGUCUUUGCUGCCAAAUCCCACGCUUUACAGUUAACCAAAGUUGACUCUGUAUGACCUGUUACAUUUUCCUUAGACAGUUGGAUGUGAUCACAGAAGGGUGACUGCCAAAGUUUUAUUUCAGCUCAGAUAUAGCUAAAUGCAAGAAAUCACUUCCUGACACCUUUCUUCUGCCUGCCCCACCCUAAAUCACCAUUUUUCAAACAAGCUAUGGGAUCUACAAAAUGGCCUACCUGUGUUCCAAGUUAAUUUUGAGAAUGGCUUUUUAUGGCUGGUUUGUAAUCUCUUUAGAAAAGCAAAAUUAUGAUGGAAACUCUAUGACAUCCUAAGCUGUAAGCACUUGAAGAUGAAUGUAACUUCAGGUCUGUGAAGCUAAAUAUUUACCUUCCACAUGA